UUUCUGUGUGUGAUUAAGUGAAAAUUCAGAUGUAGGGAGUCAGGGUGUUCCAGUUAAUCAACUAUUGGGUUUGAAUCUUGGCCGAUCUGGCCUUGCUCUUGUAUUUCCCUUGGUACUGUGUUAACUUUCUGUGUAUGAUCUGGCCCAUACUCUGACCUUGCCUCUGCCUCGUGCCUGGUUACUGGUUCUGUCCUCUAGUAAAGGACCCGGCCCGCAGCUCCCACUACAAUCAAAGCCUGUCCUGGGUAUCCUUUUGCUUCAUUUCAAUUUUGUCUGAUGUGAUGCCAAAAGGAGAUGAACCAAUGAAAAUGGAGACUGCCAAGAAAGAUGCCCCACAAUGCGUAUCUGGGGGCUGACGAAUGUAAAGCCAGGCACUUGCCUGGGAGCUAAUGAUAUACAAUGCCCAAUGUUACUAUCACAGGAGAAAAGAAGAACACUUGUGUCUCAAUACACCUGAAAACAAAUUUAGUUUAGCAAAAACAUCAAAACAUUACAAAUGACCAUAUUAGUAAGAUUCGGAGAAAUGCCCAAAUUUACUUAGUUCAUAUAUCAGCAGAAUAUAUUGAAGUCUGUAGAGCAAUGACAGGCAGUGACGAAUGGUGACAGCUUUAUAAACUUCCGUCACAGGGGGAUGAGGCUGUCGGAAAAUAACCUGAUCUGUCAUUUCUGCAGCAUUUUACCUUUCAUGCAAAGAAUAAACAAAUAAAGAAUUCUUGACUAAAACGAAUGUAUUCAGUCAACAAACUA
Molecule: long non-coding RNA, 747 nt
Organism: Xenopus tropicalis (tropical clawed frog)
Lineage: Eukaryota; Metazoa; Chordata; Amphibia; Anura; Pipidae
Exons: 3
Source: RefSeq, a predicted model, not a curated record